AGAGUUUGAUCAUGGCUCAGAACGAACGCUGGCGGCAUGCCUAACACAUGCAAGUCGAACGCCCUCUUCGGAGGGAGUGGCGCACGGGUGCGUAACGCGUGGGAACCUGCCUUAGGUUCGGAAUAACUCAGAGAAAUUUGAGCUAAUACCGGAUAAUGUCUUCGGACCAAAGAUUUAUCGCCUUUGGAUGGGCCCGCGUUGGAUUAGCUAGUUGGUGGGGUAAAGGCCUACCAAGGCGACGAUCCAUAGCUGGUCUGAGAGGAUGAUCAGCCACACUGGGACUGAGACACGGCCCAGACUCCUACGGGAGGCAGCAGUGGGGAAUAUUGGACAAUGGGCGAAAGCCUGAUCCAGCAAUGCCGCGUGAGUGAUGAAGGCCUUAGGGUUGUAAAGCUCUUUUACUGGGGAUGAUAAUGACAGUACCCAGAGAAUAAGCUCCGGCUAACUCCGUG
This 452-nucleotide ribosomal RNA is filed under the name uncultured bacterium. RNAcentral's name for it is "bacterial SSU rRNA". It matches the Rfam family "Bacterial small subunit ribosomal RNA", at positions 8 to 507 of the family's 1533-position model. The record is from RNAcentral.